GUUAGCCGACGGGCGGAUCUCGGGUUGCCACGGCGACGGGCAACCUGAGGAAACUCCACCACGUCCACGGACCCGCGGCGCCGCGAGGCGCUGGGGGAAACCCUAGGCAACGGCACAGAAACGAGACCUCCUACAUUCCAUGAGAAUGAGACGGCCGAGGCGUUAAGCCGAGAACCGUCCUGGCAACAGGACGGAGAUAACCCGUCGACGAGAAUGUAGGAAAGGAUGAAACGGCCGCCCCGCGGGUUCAGAGCCAAAUAGAGCCGAUGAGGUCCGUGGGAAGGCUCGGGUAGGCUCUUAGACAGAUUCCGCUAAAACAGAAGGUGGGUUACGAUCGGCUAAC
Molecule: RNase P RNA, 343 nt
Filed under: Thermofilum sp. ex4484_82
Lineage: Archaea; Thermoproteati; Thermoproteota; Thermoprotei; Thermofilales; Thermofilaceae
Also listed under: 1 other name
Description: RNase P RNA component
Rfam family: Archaeal RNase P
About the family: Ribonuclease P (RNase P) is a ubiquitous endoribonuclease, found in archaea, bacteria and eukarya as well as chloroplasts and mitochondria. Its best characterised activity is the generation of mature 5'-ends of tRNAs by cleaving the 5'-leader elements of precursor-tRNAs.
Source: RNAcentral